RNAcentral lists this ribosomal RNA (429 nucleotides) under Bacteroidota bacterium. RNAcentral's name for it is "Bacteroidetes bacterium partial 16S ribosomal RNA". It matches the Rfam family "Bacterial small subunit ribosomal RNA", at positions 355 to 776 of the family's 1533-position model. Lineage: Bacteria; Pseudomonadati; Bacteroidota. The record is from RNAcentral.
UAGGGAAUCUUCGGCAAUGGGGGGAACCCUGACCGAGCAACGCCGCGUGAGUGAAGAAGGUUUUCGGAUCGUAAAGCUCUGUUGUUAAGGAAGAACGAGUGUGAGAAUGGAAAGUUCAUACUGUGACGGUACUUAACCAGAAAGGGACGGCUAACUACGUGCCAGCAGCCGCGGUAAUACGUAGGUCCCGAGCGUUGUCCGGAUUUAUUGGGCGUAAAGCGAGCGCAGGCGGUUAGAUAAGUCUGAAGUUAAAGGCAGUGGCUCAACCAUUGUAGGCUUUGGAAACUGUUUAACUUGAGUGCAGAAGGGGAGAGUGGAAUUCGAGGUGUAGCGGUGAAAUGCGAAGAUAUAUGGAGAAAAACCGGUGGCGAAAGCGGCUCUCUGGUCUGUAACUGACGCUGAGGCUCGAAAGCGUGGGGAGCGAACAGG